CAGGACGAACGCUGGCGGCGUGCCUAACACAUGCAAGUCGAACGGAGUCAAAAAGCUUGCUUUUGACUAGUGGCGGACGGGUGAGUAACGCGUGAGUAACCUGCCUCUGAGACGGGGAAUAACGUUCUGAAAAAGAACGCUAAUACCGCAUAACGUAUCGAAGCCGCAUGACUUUGAUACCAAAGAAUUUAUCGGCUUGGAGAUGGACUCGCGUCCGAUUAGUUAGUUGGUGAGGUAACGGCACACCAAGACCGCGAUCGGUAGCCGGACUGAGAGGUUGAUCGGCCACAUGGACUGAGACACGGCCCAGACUCCUACGGGAGGCAGCAGUGGGGGAUAUUGCGCAAUGGGGGCAACCCUGAACCGCAGCAACGCCGCGUGAAGGAUGAAGGUUUUCGGAUUGUAAACUUCUUUUAUCAGGGACGAAGCUUGACGGUACCUGAUGAAUAAGCUCCGGCUAACUACGUGCCAGCCGCCGC
RNAcentral lists this ribosomal RNA (479 nucleotides) under uncultured bacterium. RNAcentral describes it as "bacterial SSU rRNA". It matches the Rfam family "Bacterial small subunit ribosomal RNA", at positions 25 to 518 of the family's 1533-position model. The record is from RNAcentral.